RNAcentral lists this unclassified non-coding RNA (379 nucleotides) under plant metagenome. RNAcentral's name for it is "partial contains 5.8S ribosomal RNA, internal transcribed spacer 2, and large subunit ribosomal RNA". The stretch from base 1 to 106 matches the Rfam family "5.8S ribosomal RNA", at positions 49 to 154 of the family's 154-position model. The record is from RNAcentral.
CGAAAUGCGAUAAGUAAUGUGAAUUGCAGAAUUCAGUGAAUCAUCGAAUCUUUGAACGCACCUUGCGCUCCUUGGUAUUCCUUGGAGCAUGCCUGUUUGAGUAUCAUGAAAUCUUCAAAGUAAAUCUUUUGUUAACUCAAUUGGUUUCUACUUUGGUAUUGGAGGUCUUUGCAGCUUCACACCUGCUCCUCUUUGUUCAUUAGCUGGAUCUCAGUGUUAUGCUUGGUUCCACUCGGCGUGAUAAGUUAUCUAUCGCUGAGGACACUGUAAAAGGUGGCCAAGGUAAAUGCAGAUGCACCGCUUCUAAUAGUCCAUUGACUUGGACAAUACUUUUAUGAUCUGAUCUCAAAUCAGGUAGGACUACCCGCUGAACUUAAGC